This 253-nucleotide ribosomal RNA is filed under the name uncultured bacterium. RNAcentral's name for it is "partial 16S ribosomal RNA". It matches the Rfam family "Bacterial small subunit ribosomal RNA", at positions 524 to 776 of the family's 1533-position model. The record is from RNAcentral.
UACGUAGGGUGCAAGCGUUGUCCGGAAUUAUUGGGCGUGAAGAGCUCGUAGGUGGCCUGUCGCGUCGGCUGUGAAAACUCGGGGCUCAACUCCGAGCUUGCAGUCGAUACGGGCAGGCUAGAGUUCGGCAGGGGAGACUGGAAUUCCUGGUGUAGCGGUGAAAUGCGCAGAUAUCAGGAGGAACACCGGUGGCGAAGGCGGGUCUCUGGGCCGAUACUGACACUGAGGAGCGAAAGCGUGGGGAGCGAACAGG